Molecule: long non-coding RNA, 1226 nt
Organism: Amblyraja radiata (thorny skate)
Lineage: Eukaryota; Metazoa; Chordata; Chondrichthyes; Rajiformes; Rajidae
Exons: 3
Source: RefSeq, a predicted model, not a curated record
GCAUGGGUCGGAUUGGCGGGCGGCUGGAGCAGGCCGAGUGGCCCCCGGGGCCCCCGGGGACAUUGAUCCCAAGCUGUCAGCUCACAACAGCCCUCAACGAUGUUUACACGCCUGAUGCAGCGAUUAGAUUACUUCCAACAUCACACUCGUCCAGCUGCUGAGAUGGAGUCACUGAAGCUUAUACCACAUCCCAAACAGACAACAGAGUUCGUAAAUGAAUCUCUUGGGCCUUGUUAAAAUUUGCAAGACGAACUGUGCCCACCAAGCUGACAUUUCACAGCCAAUCAACUGUGACUGAAGAAGCAAACCCGGCUUUAUCCAGUUUAACAAUGCAAUUACUGUAUAUAAACAAAACCUGGACACACGUGCAUUAGAAUUGAAGGGUAGAAAUCCUGGAGCCUUGUGGUCAACUGUGAUAGGCCAGGGUGUUAGGAUUGGUUGGGAGCAAGGCCGUGAAGUCAAAGCAAGGAACAGCAAACACUGUCUGCAACCUUACCUCAACAACUACGAUCUGAUAUGGUCUUUAUUUUGCUUGCACCACAUACAUUUGCUUUGCACUCUUUGCACUCUUAUGUUACCUAGUAUUAGUGCUGUUAAUUUAUUAAAUUAUUAUUAUAUUAUUGAUCAUUAUAUAUUAAUUUGUGUGUUAUUGCUGUCAUGGGCCUGUAAUUAUGAAGCAUUUACUAGGAUAUUGAUGUAAAAUCAGAACUGUAUUAUCAUUAAUGACAUCAGAUUUUAACAAAAAAAAUUCUUGCUUUGAAUCACCGAUUUAAAGAUUGGAGUAUAUUGGAUGUUUCCUCUCAGUUUGGUUGAUCCUUCACAGCUUGAAAGGAUGCCAAGGUUGCUGAAGAGAAUACCUUUCCAAUUACAGCUUUAGCUGGCAUCUCCCCAAUGGUAGUCCAGGUAAAAUUAACAGGCCAUCAUAAGAGGAUCAUUGGAUCCAACUGUCUUCUUGGCCUGAAGAUAAACACAACGUGCUAGAGUAACUCAGCGGGUCAGGCAACAUCUCUGGGGAAAAGGAUGAGUAACAUUUUGGGUCGGGUCCCUUCUUCAGACCAAAAGUAGAGGGGAGGGAACUGGAGGUAAGAAAAGGCCAGAACAAAGCAGGGCCGGCAACAGAUGACCAAGGAAGACCAUAAUGGCACAUUGUUGGCUGCAGAAGUGGUGAUAACAAGAGGGAUACAAGGAUGCGAAUAGUGGGACUAGUAGGACGUCUAGGGUGGGGA